RNAcentral lists this long non-coding RNA (691 nucleotides) under Struthio camelus australis. RNAcentral describes it as "lncRNA (ENSSCUG00000002555.1)". The record is from RNAcentral. Lineage: Eukaryota; Metazoa; Chordata; Aves; Struthioniformes; Struthionidae.
AAACUACAGUCACGAGCGGAAGAGUGGAGGAGCUCUGGGGGGGGGCCGCCUAACUUCUAGUGCCGGGGGUCAGGCACGGUGUUAGAUUGCCGCUUAGCCAACAGUGCUGUACGUUACUGGCAAAUUGGCCAGUUCUGUGGCAGUUGAAAAUUGAUACUGAACACUGCUGUGCGCUUCCACUACUUAAUACUGUAAUUCACGGUGGGACUGAAAGUGCUGCUGUCCCAAAAGAAGGGUGUUUCUGGCUUGGCCUUAAGUCAUCACCUUGCCUUUGCCUGGUACUCGCUGGACUGUUGGUAGAGCCUGUUGUUGCUGCCACUGCCCCUGCGUGAGUACCUUGGGACUCAUCACUUGAAGAGGUUGCUACCCUUACCUGCGCUUUGGUUGCUCUUGCCUUCCAGCUUGUCCUCCCUCACAGAGCACCUGCCUUCUUGCUGCUCUCAGGGCAGGUAGACUCGCAUGCCUGUUACUGAAUGAUCCUCUUGAUACACUUCAGAGAAGUGGAGAUCUGCGUUCUGCUCUCUUUUCCUAAACUCAACAGAGGAGCUAGAAAACUGCCUUCUUGCCUCCAAGGCCGAUAAGCUAGCCGUUACUUUAAUGGGCAACGAGGCCUGGAGGUAUGGCCGCAGCUCCUGCCUGCGCUUGUGCAGCGGGGCCACCAGGUGGCGAAGCUGCUGCUCCUGGCACGCCG